This 71-nucleotide transfer RNA is filed under the name Loxodonta africana (African savanna elephant). It matches the Rfam family "tRNA". From Rfam's summary of the family: Transfer RNA (tRNA) molecules are approximately 80 nucleotides in length. Their secondary structure includes four short double-helical elements and three loops (D, anti-codon, and T loops). The record is from Rfam by way of RNAcentral. Lineage: Eukaryota; Metazoa; Chordata; Mammalia; Proboscidea; Elephantidae.
GCAGUGGCACUUCAGUGGUAGAACUCUCGCCUUUCAAGCAGAAGACCCAGAUUCAAUUCCUGGCUGAUGCA